Long non-coding RNA from Sinocyclocheilus anshuiensis, 235 nucleotides. RefSeq lists it as uncharacterized. The record is from RefSeq and is a predicted model, not a curated record. Lineage: Eukaryota; Metazoa; Chordata; Actinopteri; Cypriniformes; Cyprinidae. The transcript is spliced from 3 exons.
GGAGGAAUCCAUUCAACAUGGCGGACACUCGAGAGCGGCAGGAUUCAACGCAUGGAAUAACUUUGUGAACUGGUUGCUUGCUGAGAUUGAUGCUUGCUGAACAAAGCCUCAACAAACAGCCUCAACAAUCGAGGAUUUCCAUGAUGCCAACAUGAAGCGCACUUUAGCCCUUCGUGCAAUCCCAGUAUACUUGCGUGAGUAGGACCCACAGGUCUUUAAGACGUGGAAUGUAAGU